GACGAACGCUGGCGGCGUGCUUAACACAUGCAAGUCGAACGGAAAGGCGCUGCUUUUGCGGGGUGGUCGAGUGGCGAACGGGUGAGUGACACGUGAGGAACCUGCCCUUGACUUUCGGAUAUCUUCAGGAAACUGGGGCUAAUACCGGAUAGGAGCUCCUGCUGCAUGGUGGGGGUUGGAAAGUUUCGGCGGUUGGGGAUGGACUCGCGGGUUAUCAGCUUGUUGGUGGAGUAGUGGCUGACCAAGGCUUUGACGGGUAGCCGGCCUGGGAGGGUGGCCGGCCACCCUGGUACUGAGGUACAGCCCAGUCGCCUACCGGCGGCAGCGGUGGGGAAUCUUGCACAAUGGCCGGAAGCCAGAUACGAAAGCGCCGCGAGCGUAAAGACCGGUUUCGAGUGGUAAACCGCUUUCGACUUUGACGUGGAGAGAGUGACGGUAAUUAAUAAAGAAGCAACGGCUAACUACGUG
This 468-nucleotide ribosomal RNA is filed under the name uncultured bacterium. RNAcentral's name for it is "partial 16S ribosomal RNA". It matches the Rfam family "Bacterial small subunit ribosomal RNA", at positions 28 to 507 of the family's 1533-position model. The record is from RNAcentral.